RNAcentral lists this ribosomal RNA (545 nucleotides) under uncultured bacterium. Its description in RNAcentral is "bacterial SSU rRNA". It matches the Rfam family "Bacterial small subunit ribosomal RNA", at positions 777 to 1320 of the family's 1533-position model. The record is from RNAcentral.
AAUAGAUACCCAGGUAGUCCACGCCGUAAACGAUGAGUGCUAAGUGUUAGGGGGUUUCCGCCCCUUAGUGCUGCAGCUAACGCAUUAAGCACUCCGCCUGGGGAGUACGGUCGCAAGACUGAAACUCAAAGGAAUUGACGGGGGCCCGCACAAGCGGUGGAGCAUGUGGUUUAAUUCGAAGCAACGCGAAGAACCUUACCAGGUCUUGACAUCCCAUUGACCACUAUGGAGACAUAGUUUUCCCUUCGGGGACAACGGUGACAGGUGGUGCAUGGUUGUCGUUAGCUCGUGUCGUGAGAUGUUGGGUUAAGUCCCGCAACGAGCGCAACCCUUGUUCUUAGUUGCCAUCAUUUAGUUGGGCACUCUAAGGAGACUGCCGGUGACAAACCGGAGGAAGGUGGGGAUGACGUCAAGUCAUCAUGCCCCUUAUGACCUGGGCUACACACGUGCUACAAUGGACGGUACAAACGGUUGCCAACCCGCGAGGGGGAGCUAAUCCGAUAAAACCGUUCUCAGUUCGGAUUGUAGGCUGCAACUCGCCUACA